GAUGAACGCUGGCGGCGUGCCUAAUACAUGCAAGUCGAGCGAACGGACGAGAAGCUUGCUUCUCUGAUGUUAGCGGCGGACGGGUGAGUAACACGUGGAUAACCUACCUAUAAGACUGGGAUAACUUCGGGAAACCGGAGCUAAUACCGGAUAAUAUUUUGAACCGCAUGGUUCAAAAGUGAAAGACGGUCUUGCUGUCACUUAUAGAUGGAUCCGCGCUGCAUUAGCUAGUUGGUAAGGUAACGGCUUACCAAGGCAACGAUGCAUAGCCGACCUGAGAGGGUGAUCGCCCACAUGGGAAGGUGACCACGGACCAUGCUCCUGCGGGAGGGAGCAGUAGGGAACCUGACGCAAUGGGCGAAAGCCUGACGGAGCAACGGCGCGUGAGUGAUGAAGGUGUUCGGAUCGGAAAACUCUGUUAUGAGGGAAGAACAGAUGUGUAAGUAACUGUGCACAUCGUGACGGUACCUAAUCAGAAAGCCACGGCUAACUACGUG
Molecule: ribosomal RNA, 497 nt
Filed under: uncultured bacterium
Lineage: Bacteria
Description: partial 16S ribosomal RNA
Rfam family: Bacterial small subunit ribosomal RNA
Source: RNAcentral